This 626-nucleotide ribosomal RNA is filed under the name uncultured Bacteroidota bacterium. RNAcentral describes it as "bacterial SSU rRNA". It matches the Rfam family "Bacterial small subunit ribosomal RNA", at positions 819 to 1457 of the family's 1533-position model. The record is from RNAcentral. Lineage: Bacteria; Pseudomonadati; Bacteroidota.
GCUGUUUGCGAUAUACCGUAAGCGGCUGAGCGAAAGCAUUAAGUGAACCACCUGGGGAGUACGAUCGCAAGGUUGAAACUCAAAGGAAUUGACGGGGGCCCGCACAAGCGGAGGAACAUGUGGUUUAAUUCGAUGAUACGCGAGGAACCUUACCUGGGCUUAAAUGUAGAUUGCAUAGAGUGGAAACAUUCUUUCCCUUCGGGGCUAUUUACAAGGUGCUGCAUGGUUGUCGUCAGCUCGUGCCGUGAGGUGUCGGGUUAAGUCCCAUAACGAGCGCAACCCUUACCGUUAGUUGCCAUCAGGUCAUGCUGGGGACUCUAGCGGGACUGCCACCGUAAGGUGAGAGGAAGGUGGGGAUGACGUCAAAUCAGCACGGCCCUUAUGUCCAGGGCUACACACGUGUUACAAUGGCCGGUACAAAGGGCAGCUACUUCGCGAGAAGAUGCUAAUCUCAAAAGCCGGUCCCAGUUCGGAUUGGAGUCUGCAACCCGACUCCAUGAAGUUGGAUUCGCUAGUAAUCGCGCAUCAGCCAUGGCGCGGUGAAUACGUUCCCGGGCCUUGUACACACCGCCCGUCAAACCAUGGGAGCUGAGGGUGCCUGAAGUCUGCCACCGAGAGGAGCGGCC